GAUGAACGCUGGCGGCGUGCCUAAUACAUGCAAGUCGAGCGAACAGACGAGGAGCUUGCUCCUCUGACGUUAGCUGCGGCCGGGUGAGUAACACGUGGAUAACCUACCUAUAAGACUGGGAUAACUUCGUGAAACCGGAGCUAAUACCGGAUAAUAUAUUCAACCGCAUGGUUCACUAGUGAAAGACGGUUUUGCUGUCACUUAUAGAUGGAUCCGCGCCGCAUUAGCUAGUUGGUAAGGUAACGGCUUACCAAGGCGACGAUGCGUAGCCGACCUGAGAGGGUGAUCGACCACACUGGAACUGAGACACGGUCCAGACUCCUACGGGAGGCCGCAGUAGGGAAUCUUACGCAAUGGGCGAAAGCGUGACGGAGCAAAGCGGCGUGAGUGAUGAAGGUCUUCGGAUCGGAAAACUCUGUUAUUAGGGAAGAAGAAAUGUGUAAGUAACUAUGCAGGUAUUGACGGUACCGGAUCAGAAAGCCCCGGCUAACUACGUG
RNAcentral lists this ribosomal RNA (497 nucleotides) under uncultured bacterium. RNAcentral describes it as "partial 16S ribosomal RNA". It matches the Rfam family "Bacterial small subunit ribosomal RNA", at positions 28 to 507 of the family's 1533-position model. The record is from RNAcentral.